GGUAAGGCUUGGGCCACCAACGGGAAAGAACUCCACUUGCACACACACGCACCUCCCCCCCCCACACCCCUCCGGGCGGUGCUGCCUGGUGAAAUAUCAGCUGGCAGGUGCCGUUGGGUAAAGCCUGGUGUUCCCUACUGACGUUUUGCUUCUUCCUGCCCCGGUGGUACCUGGAAUAUAUCUUCACUUGCUAACAGAAGGGAAAAGAAACCAAACAAAGUCUUGCUAUGCUUUGAUGGGGAGAAAACUUCCUGCAGAGGAAAGAUUUCUUGCCAGUCGCCGCUGCCUGCCCAGUCUGUGGAAGCACCUACUGCAAUAUCCCCAGUUUGUGCCCGCACUGCGACCUCCCCUAUCUUCCACCCAUCCUGAGGGCAGAGGAAAAGUGCCCCACGGCCAGCCUUCACCCCCACCGGCUCCCACUCUCACCACCUCUGCUGCCAGUUUUCCAGAGGAGAAAAUGGACAUCCUCCAUCCCACCAAAAACCUUGCCGCCGCUGAGCCUGCCCCUGAGGGGUGAGAGGCGAGUGCUGGGUGCUGGGGCCCAUGAGUGAAAGGACAGCUCUUUGACUGGGAACUUACCACGCCAUAUCAUUUGCUUGAAAUGGGCAUCACGCCCUACGAGCGCUGCUCCCUGUUCAGCAGGGCCGUGCCUAUCAGCAAAGUAUUGCGUAGAGAAGUAUCAUCAGUUAGGUUAUCUUAUUCUUUGUUCACGCCUAAUGUUAUUUCUGAGAAACAUUGUAAAAUGUUACUUUAUCAUGUUAAGACUUUGUGCCCUACCAAUGUAUGCGCUGUACGGCAAGGUGUGACGGUGGAGCUGCCUUCCACUGGCUCUUACUGGCUUUGGCUCAACUAUUACGAAGACACUAUAUAAUAUGCUAGAAACAUGGAAGAAGAUACAUCUGCUACUGCCUUCUCACAUAUUAGAGAAACAAACACAUGGUUCCGUGUGAAAAUCAUGUUGCGUCAAAAAUAGAGUCUCUAUUAAAUGA
Calidris pugnax (ruff) is the source of this 989-nucleotide long non-coding RNA. RefSeq lists it as uncharacterized. The transcript is spliced from 2 exons. The record is from RefSeq and is a predicted model, not a curated record. NCBI's taxonomy places the organism in Eukaryota, Metazoa, Chordata, Aves, Charadriiformes, Scolopacidae.